RNAcentral lists this ribosomal RNA (396 nucleotides) under Enterococcus faecalis. Its description in RNAcentral is "bacterial SSU rRNA". It matches the Rfam family "Bacterial small subunit ribosomal RNA", at positions 37 to 406 of the family's 1533-position model. Lineage: Bacteria; Bacillati; Bacillota; Bacilli; Lactobacillales; Enterococcaceae. The record is from RNAcentral.
CCCAAAGUGGCCGCAGCUAUACAUGCAAAGUCGAACGCUUCUUUCCUCCCGAGUGCUUGCACUCAAUUGGAAAGAGGAGUGGCGGACGGGUGAGUAACACGUGGGUAACCUACCCAUCAGAGGGGGAUAACACUUGGAAACAGGUGCUAAUACCGCAUAACAGUUUAUGCCGCAUGGCAUAAGAGUGAAAGGCGCUUUCGGGUGUCGCUGAUGGAUGGACCCGCGGUGCAUUAGCUAGUUGGUGAGGUAACGGCUCACCAAGGCCACGAUGCAUAGCCGACCUGAGAGGGUGAUCGGCCACACUGGGACUGAGACACGGCCCAGACUCCUACGGGAGGCAACAGUAUGGAAUCUUCUGCAAUGGACGAAUUUCUGACCGCGCCCCGCUGCGUGUUC